CCUACGGGGGGCAGCAGUGAGGAAUAUUGGUCAAUGGACGAGAGUCUGAACCAGCCAAGUAGCGUGAAGGAUGACUGCCCUAUGGGUUGUAAACUUCUUUUAUAUGGGAAUAAAAUGUUCCACGUGUGGGAUUUUGUAUGUACCAUAUGAAUAAGGAUCGGCUAACUCCGUGCCAGCAGCCGCGGUAAUACGGAGGAUCCGAGCGUUAUCCGGAUUUAUUGGGUUUAAAGGGAGCGUAGGUGGAUUGUUAAGUCAGUUGUGAAAGUUUGCGGCUCAACCGUAGAAUUGCAGUUGAAACUGGCAGUCUUGAGUACAGUAGAGGUGGGCGGAAUUCGUGGUGUAGCGGUGAAAUGCUUAGAUAUCACGAAGAACUCCGAUUGCGAAGGCAGUUCACUGGACUGCAACUGACACUGAGGCUCGAAAGUGUGGGUAUCAAACAGGAUUAGAUACCCGGGUAGUC
This 460-nucleotide ribosomal RNA is filed under the name uncultured bacterium. Its description in RNAcentral is "partial 16S ribosomal RNA". It matches the Rfam family "Bacterial small subunit ribosomal RNA", at positions 338 to 795 of the family's 1533-position model. The record is from RNAcentral.